RNAcentral lists this ribosomal RNA (939 nucleotides) under Staphylococcus warneri. RNAcentral describes it as "bacterial SSU rRNA". It matches the Rfam family "Bacterial small subunit ribosomal RNA", at positions 49 to 959 of the family's 1533-position model. The record is from RNAcentral. Lineage: Bacteria; Bacillati; Bacillota; Bacilli; Caryophanales; Staphylococcaceae.
GUAAAAAUACAAGUCGUACAAGGUACCGUAACUUGCUCCUUUGACGUUAGCGGCGGACGGGUGAGUAACACGUGGAUAACCUACCUAUAAGACUGGGAUAACUUCGGGAAACCGGAGCUAAUACCGGAUAACAUAUUGAACCGCAUGGUUCAAUAGUGAAAGGCGGCUUUGCUGUCACUUAUAGAUGGAUCCGCGCCGUAUUAGCUAGUUGGUAAGGUGACGGCUUACCAAGGCAACGAUACGUAGCCGACCUGAGAGGGUGAUCGGCCACACUGGAACUGAGACACGGUCCAGACUCCUACGGGAGGCAGCAGUAGGGAAUCUUCCGCAAUGGGCGAAAGCCUGACGGAGCAACGCCGCGUGAGUGAUGAAGGUCUUCGGAUCGUAAAACUCUGUUAUCAGGGAAGAACAAAUGUGUAAGUAACUGUGCACAUCUUGACGGUACCUGAUCAGAAAGCCACGGCUAACUACGUGCCAGCAGCCGCGGUAAUACGUAGGUGGCAAGCGUUAUCCGGAAUUAUUGGGCGUAAAGCGCGCGUAGGCGGUUUUUUAAGUCUGAUGUGAAAGCCCACGGCUCAACCGUGGAGGGUCAUUGGAAACUGGAAAACUUGAGUGCAGAAGAGGAAAGUGGAAUUCCAUGUGUAGCGGUGAAAUGCGCAGAGAUAUGGAGGAACACCAGUGGCGAAGGCGACUUUCUGGUCUGUAACUGACGCUGAUGUGCGAAAGCGUGGGGAUCAAACAGGAUUAGAUACCCUGGUAGUCCACGCCGUAAACGAUGAGUGCUAAGUGUUAAGGGGGUUUCCGCCCCCUUAGUGCUGCAAGCUAACGCAAUUAGACACUCCGCCCUGGGGGAGUACGAACCGCCAAGGGUUGAAAACUCCAAAGGAAAUUGAACGGGGAACCCCGCAACAAGGCGGUUGGAAGCCAUGUUGGUUUUUA